AAUAACAUUUUGUCCAGGAGACUGUACUUAAAACAGACUUGAACUUCAGGACAUUAAAUAUGAAACCACGGCUCUUUGUUUGUGAUUUCUGUCUGGCUCCAAUUGGUGAGACUUUCAAGAAUUUCAUAUUGAAUUUCAAACAUCUCAGGAAUCAUAAAUUACACAGGUAUCUGCAUACAUGACCAUGUUAUAUGAAUCUGCAUAAACCAGGUUAGUUCAUGAUAGUUUUCUCAAAAAACUGUGUGUGUGUGUGUGUGUGUGUGUGUGUGUGUGUAUUAAACUUGAGCUUGAGCUUCAAACUUAGACGUUUGACCAAAGUACUAAUAGCAUUUCCCCCUGGGUUAAAAUUAAUAAUCCCCUCUACCAACAUUAUUUUUUGUCUAAAAAAAAUCUGAGAUGAUAUCAGAAAAUACCAUACAUAUUCCCUCAACCUCUGCCCAACAGUUCAUAUAACUGCUGAGGUUGCUUAAAAGCUGCAAUUGCUUGGAUGUGCUUUGUCCCCCCAAAAUCAGUUGAAAACUCAAUUGCUAGCAUAAUGGUAUUGCGUGGUUGGGACCUUUAAAAGGCAUAGUCUUCAUAAAGGGAUCAGUAUAGCUCCUACCAACCGGAAAUAGUUACCACAGGUUAGCCUAAGGCUGUUGACUCCUUUUCCACCUUCUUACCCACCAUAUGAUAAUACUAGGUCCUCGCCAGAUGGGACAAAUGAAACUGUUUUCUUUAUAAAUUAACUAAUCUCAAGUAUCUGGUGAUAACACAGAAGACUAAGACACAGCCACUUAAAAUCACUUGCUUAAUUUAGCUUCUUUGUUUAUUUUUUAAAAUAUAUGACUGGUCCAACAGUUCUUAUUUCAAGAAGUAUCAAAUAUUUUAAUUAUAAGCUUUAGAUUUUAUUAUAGAUCUUGACUAAAAGCAAUAACUGUUUUGGAACUUGACUGUGUACCUCCAAAAUAUUGACAGUGUAUAUUUAAUGCAUUGGGGCUGAUCUUUAGCUUCUUCAUUUUUAACUCUUUGCUUUUAAUAAUGAAUCAGUUGUAAAAUAUAGUUUCAAACAUAUCACUCAAGUAGUUAUCUGAAUUUCUCACCUUGUGCUGUGAAAAUAGAAAUUAAGAUCAAAAAGAAAAUAAUUUAUUUCCUUAUAAUUCUUAAAUAGAAAUCUGUUUUGGUGUUGCAGUUUUCAAGUUAUCCUUUCUAUAAAAAAAUGUUUAAAAAUAAUGGUUUACACUUCCAGUGGCACCAUAAACUUUCAUCACACAGUGAUGUGAUCGAAAUAAUUGGCAGAAAAAAAAUCAACAUUAAAGCUAAAAACAUGUGAGACGAGCCCGUCAAAUGGAAGUGAAAAAGAUCUGACCUACAUUAGUGGUAGCUGCCUAUGCUGCGAAAAAUCACCACUGUCCAGGGCAACAGAAUCUUCAUAGAAAAACAUAUCCCAAAUUACAAAGGUUCCCAACCAGCUUAAGAGACAACCCAGUUUAUGCUGGAACCUUUGUUUAUAUAAAUCAUUCAGUAGCAGUAAAAAAUAUGUAAAUUGCACAUAUAGAUGUAAGGACACGUGAUAACAUACAAACUCACGUGAAAGGACACGAUUUAUGUCAACGACAUGAUUCGGUGCUUUUGAAGUUUUGCAUAAGCAAGACGUUUUAAAUUUUAUAUUUAUUUUAUUUUUAGUUAUAUUUGGGCAUGUGUAUCUGUGCGUGUCUGUAUUUGUGUGAGUGGAGGUGACCUCAGAGGCCAAAGGCAACAUGAUCCCCUAGAGCUGGAGUUACAGAUAGUUACGAGUUGGUUAAUAUGGGUGUUGAGAUAUAAGCUCUGAUCCUCUGCAAGAGCAGCAAAUGCUCUUAACCACCAAGCCACUGGCUCUCAGUCUUCAUAACCCUGUAACUUUUUAAUACAGUUCCUCAUGUGGUGAGCCUCAACCAUAAAAUUAUUUUUGUACUACUCCAUAAGUAUAAUUUUGCUACUAUUAUAAAUCAUAUUGUAAAUACCUGUGUUUUCUGAUGGUCCUAGGAGACCCCUGUGAAAGGGUCUUUCAGCCCUCCAAAGGGGUUGUGACCCACAGGUUGAGAACUACCACACUAAGCCAUCUCUCUCCAGCCCUAAGGGAAACAUUUUUUUUUCUUUUUUCUUUUUUUCGGAGCUGGGGACCGAACCCAGGGCCUUGCGCUUGCUAGGCAAAUGCUCUACCACUGAGCUAAAUCCACAACCCCAGGGAAACAUUUUUAAACUAAGCUUUUUAGCAGUUUCAGCUUUCUGAGGAGAUGUCUGUAAGAGCUUAGUAAAAAAACCCAGUAAAAGCUACUAACUCCUUUAUUUCUUGGAUUAUAAUACCAUGGAAGUUAUAAUCUAAAUUAUUUAUUCCAAUGCACUGCCUGUUUUCUGUAUUUCAUAAAGUUAAAAGGCAACAAAUUCGCCUUUAUAAAGUAUUACCACUCUGUAUUAAUUUUUAAAUUAAUGUAAAUAACUGUUAGAGCCUUAUCAAUACACUUGAGUUAUUUUGAUUAUAUUUAUGUUACAAACUUCAACUUUGUCUGCCACUCUGAAGCCAUCCGCUUUAACAGAAUGCUGUCUUGAAUGAAUUCUGCGUUAUUUGCGAUUAUUUGGUUGUGAAAGUUAACUUAAAAUGCGUGCGUACAGAAGUACAGCUAAGCCCCAGGUCAGCCAGACCUGGAAGCCCAGAUGCUUCCUGCCUCAAAUCCUGACUUCUGUCUUCUGACUUCUGCCUGUCACUUGUCUGUUGCUUGAUCACCACACACUGAUGGCCUCUCUGUGGCUGAAAAAAGGCCUCAAGACAUUGAAAGCUUUACCAUGUGUAAGUUUAGACAGCUUUCUGGGUCCCAAGACUAUAAAUUCCUCCAAAGUGAGGAGUCUUUAUUUCAACUUAAGUGGGCUGGCCUGUUCUAGUCAGGAGACCAAAUAUAAAUUUGUCUGAUGUUUCAGAGUAGUGGCCCUGUGAUCAUGGAAGGGUGAAGGUAGAUGUUGCACCAUUAUUAGGCAAUUAUUUUUAAUCACUGUGAACAAAAUGUCUGAUAGGAACAAGAGAAUAGAGUUUUGUUUUGGGUCAAGAAUCAGAGGUUUCACCCCACAUUUGCUUGGUCCCAGAACUUCAUGGUGAGAAGGUUCUCUACUUGUAACACACAAGAAAAGACACAGACAGAAAGGGGCCAGGGACAAAGUGCCAUUCAGGGCCUGUUUCCAGUUACUUGCUUCCUCCAACUAGAUUUCCCACCAUCUGAAGUUCCCGGAACCUCCCAAGAUAGUCCCACAGGGUACAGCACGAGAGUCAUUAGGAGACACUUCCUAUUCACUCUGUAGCAACCCCAUGUGACCCAUAUUGUUGAACUCCGUAAGAGAGAAGAGAGUCGCCAGAAAGAAGUUGUUGCACAGAAAAGGCUUAAGUGGUAGCUAGCAAGGUUCUCUUCUGGACAUCGGUCUCAGCACGACUCUUCCGAGAGCUUUUCUCUCAGCACACAUCAUAGAGGUUCCCUUAGAGCAGACACCUGAAACGGUGAAACUAUUCUGUUCUUGUCGUCAUAUAGUAGCUAGGAGCCAUGCGUGAAUGAAUACUUGAAAUGCGGCUAAAAUAAGUAAAAAAAAUUAAUUUGGUUUUACUCAAUUAAAAUGAAAAAAGUCACAUAUAAGUAGUAUAUUAGCCAAUAUUCUCCAGAAGAACAAAACAAUGUAUAUGUAUAAAUCUAUCUAUAGAUGGAUGGAUAGAUAGAUGAUAGAUAGAUAGAUGAUAGAUAGAUAGAUAGAUAGAUAGAUAGAUGGAUAGAUAGAUAGACAGACAGUGAGUAAAGAGGAUUUAUUAAGUCGGCUAAUAUGAAAGGGGUUGGGUAGUCCAACAAUCACUGUCUGUGCACCAUAGAAGCUGAUGAACCAGGAGCUGCUCAGCUCACAAAGCUGGCUGCCUCAGCAGUCCUAGCCUGCCUGGUGCCAAAAGCCUGAAAAGUUCCUGGAGAGUUGGUAUUCACUGCACAUUGGAAGGCCAGAGACACUGGAGCCUGCUGCUGAGGAAGCAGCAGGAGAGACGGAUGCACUCACUCCUCACUCAGGGCUGCGGGGAAGCAGGCAGGUAACACUUUCCCUCAGACCUCUUCAUAUCUGGACCACCUUUGAAAGGAACUGCAACUCUUUGAAGGGAAGCUCUUCCCCACUGAGUUAUUCUCUUUGAAAACACCCACACACGGAGUGUGUGUCUUAGCUGGUUCCUGAUCCAGUCAAGAUCCCAAUCAGAACUUGUCAUCAUGGUUAAUGUAUGCUUUAUUCUGCAGUAUAGCCCUAAAGCAGCAUAAAUGGCAAGGCAGUAUUCAGCAGGCUGCCAAGGAUUGUUUAGGGAUACUUGGUAAGAAGAAAGCAGUGGUAAUUUCCCAUGUGUGAAAGUGCUACCUGAUGACCUAAUACCUGGGAAUGAAUGCCGUGUGGAGGUAAAGACUGGGAAGCAAAGAAAAUAAAAAGUAAAUUAGAAUAAUUAUUUCUGUUGCCUCUACCAAGUGUUUUUACUGGGUUAUUACCAUUCUGUCAGUGUCAGAGUAAUAACCAAGGCCCAUCAUUUUAUUACCUUAGAUAAAAUGGUAGCUUUUCUGAUUUGUUUUUGGUUUUUUGCUUGUUUUUGUUUUGUUCUGUUUUGAAGCAGUGUCUUGCUGUGCAGCUAAACCCAGCCUGGAAUUCACUAUGCAACCUAGGCUGGUCUUAAAUGCUCAACUUUCAUGCCUCAGCCUCCUGAAUGAUGGAAUUAGAGAUUUGGAAAUCAGGCUCAAAGUCUUUCUUCCAGGCAAGUGUAGCAAUCGGGGCAGCACACAGAUUCUACCAAGGAAAGAAGAUGAACUAGCUCAGAAAGAGACUCGCUACCCUGCGCUCCCUGCUGUUGUAUCCUCCAUGCCUUUUAUGCAGACAGAAGGAACACCCACACUGCUCUUCCUUUCCCACUGUAAACAUGAAGUUAUUCCUGUGUAAUCUGGGUUGUAAUGUUCUCAUUGCUCAAGAGAGCUACUGCUAUUGGGCAACGGUGCAGAGCACCACAUUGCAGGUUGGUUUAUCUGUCUGUCUAUCUGGUUUGGCUAUCUAGUGACAGAUCCCCCCAAGCUUGGCACAUGCCAAAUGAGUGCUCUGUGCUAAGCCCCAACCUGGCCUCUACACUGCAGUUUUUUAAGAGAACAAUAGCCCAGCAUGGUCUGUCCUGUCAGCAUGAACAGAACUUCCAGACCAAUUUAACACAAAGUGAUCAAGAAACACAUGCUUAGUAGGAUAUAGGAUCCAGCAGCUAAAUGUUCUUAUUCAUAACAAAGUACAUUAUCUUGUUCCAGGCAAGAUAUUUAAAGCUUUUUUUCCCACAGCUGAAUGUUUCUAUGAUAAUGACAAGUGACAUUUAUAUAAUGAUUUUCACUGAAAGGCCAAAAAUGUACCAUAAACCUUUUAAAAUAAUAUAAAUAUGUCGCCCACAGUAAAUGUAGCCGCCUAUCACGCAGGAUACAAGAAGCAACGUUUUAGAAGCCCCCAAGAGGAUAUGUACAGAAAGGAAGUCAAAUUCUAUGCCUAAAAUAAAUUGAUAAUCUGGGUUAGAUGAGAAAAAAAUUAUUACGUGAUUAUGAAACAGUCAUUCAUUUCCCUUUGGCUUAUGUAACUACCAUGUGUGGGCCUCACUCCAUGAAGGUCAUAGGAAGCAAUAAGAGUUUACUGCUCAGAUCUAACAGGAAAAUAUGAACCAUUAUUCUUUAUAUAAAAGUAGAUACUUGGGGGCUAGAGAGAUGGCUCAGCAGUUAAGAGCAUUUACUGUUCUUGCAGAAGGACUGAGGAUUGGUCGCCAGCACCUACAUCAGGCAAUGCACAACCUCCUUUAAUUCCACCUUGCGGGGAUCCAAUGCCGCCUUCUCGACUCCACAGGCAUCUGCGCUCACAUAUACACAAACCCACAUGCACACAUGUGCACACACACACACACACACACACACACGUUUUAAUAUUUGUUUUGUGUCUGUGUAGGUAUAUGUUUGUGUGGUAGGAUACACACAUCACUGUGUGUGGAGCUCAGAGAACAGCCUGGAGUGUUGAUCCUCAACUUGUAGCUUGUUUGAGGCAGCAUCUCUCUUGCUGUUUUCUGGGAUUAUAGAGACUUGCCACAGCAUCUGGCCUUUAUAUGGCUCUUAGGGAUUCAGACUCAGGCUGUCAGGCUCAAGGGGCAACUGCUAAAUCUCUCCAAUGCUCAAUGUACUUUUUAAAGGGACGAAUAAAUUAUAGAAGCCUAGAUACUGUGGCCCUUCAUAUUACUAUUUAGUAAGCUUUGAUGUGAUGUUGUAAAAAUGUAAAAAUAUAAAAAUAAAAGAGUAAGGGUUGUCUUUUAUCCCGCUAGGUCCACACCCCAGUGCCCCAAGAUAUCUGCUAGAUAUCUUGGCGGAAACACAUCCCAGCCGCACACUUUCCUACACUCAAACCCUCACAUAAAAGAACACACAACACAAUAAUCUUAGAUCCAAUUGAUAAUAUAUAAUUGCCCACUUAAACAUACAAAGCCCGGUACCAUCCAUCCCUUAGGAACAUUAAUAACAACCUGUAAAUACACAGAGCAGAAUCUUAACGUCACCUGCCAUGGCUUCUCCCCUCUCUCUCCUGUCUCCUCCUUUCUCCUAAUCUCCUCCUCUUCCUUCAAACUUCUCUCCCGCCCAUCCUUCCUUCUCCUCCAAUGACAGGCCUCCUUCUAUCCUGUACCUGCCCCUCACCUGUGACUUUAUCCUACAUUGAUGCAGGUAUCUCACAACAAUCAAAUAAAACCAGAUGAAAUUGUAGUAAGGAAAAAAUAAAAGAUGGAAAAUGUAACUUUAAUUUUUUUUCAAACACCUAUUUUUAAUGAUGGUUCUUAAACAUUUUAACUUCCCUUACAGCCUACCAUCCACCAGAGGUAGUGAGAAAGAAAGGAAACAGGGGAAGUGGACCUGUUUAGAAAGGUUCCUUGGAGCAACUCCCCUCUGUGUUGUCUGGACCCUUCACAGACACACCAGCAGUUCAGUUUGGGUGAGUCGGGAUAGCAAACACAAAUCGGCACUGGCCAGCACUACCUAACAGAGACAGCCAGGUCUCAGCCUUGGUACAAGUCGACCAGGAGGAAUGCCAGGAGAAGUUCUCAGCUAUGCCUCUCUCAAAGGGAAGAUCAGCAAAGAAGGGAGACCAACAAGGGCUGCACAGCCAGCUCUGUAAACAAGCCCAGCUCCACCUCUGUCUUUGUCCUAUUUAGACUCUCUCCAAACAUCUCAUGUCCUCCACGUGUCUUGCCUCAGCUGACAUCACUCCGCCAAUCAGCUCAAGUCUAAGGAAGCAGCAAGAAACUGAUUUUCUCUCUAUGGAGUCCCAACAAAUGCAGCUCAGGUACAUAACGUAAGGCAGACCAACAUAGGUGUGUGGUUAGCAAAGAAUCCUUCACCACAUGUCCCUUCACAUGUUUGCUUUAGCAGAUCAUCCUCUGACCUGUGUCUGCUUCAGCUCAACAUUCCUUCACAUGUCUACCCUAAAAAAACACCAUCCAACUGACUUUCCAAAGAACCUUAAGUUUCCACUUCAGGGAAAAUAACUUUUAAUAGAGUAAUACUUCUCAGUGUCUUCCCAAUAAUUCUUCCUAGUAUAGAAUUUCUCUUUGCUUACUUAUUUCAUUAGGCAAGCGCUAUACCGCUGAGCUAAAUCCCCAACCCCCUCCAGCUCUUCUCAUAUCCUCUCUGCUUCCCUACUUACCCAACUCCAUGCCAUUGCUCUGUCUCUCUCAAAGAGAGAGAGAGAGAGAGAGAGAGAGAGAGAGAGAGAGAGAGAGAGAGAGAAUCAAAACAAAAGCAAAAAUAUAAGACCUUUAAAAGUAAAAGGGGGGCUGGGGAUUUAGCUCAGUGGUAGAGCGCUUACCUAGGAAGCACAAGGCCCUGGGUUCGGUCCCCAGCUCCGAAAAAAAGAAAAAGUAAAAGGGAAAGGGGAACACAAACCAACAAAAAUGUGGAGCUCAUUUUGUGUUGGCGAGCUGCUACUCCUGGGCAUGGGUCCUGCCCUGGAGUAUGGCUGCUAUCUGCACUCUGCUCUCCUAAUGUGUAAGACACUAACUCUCAUUUAUUGGGAAGACAACCUAUUACAGGCUUGUGGGGUAUCUCUUAAGAACUCAGAGACCUGAGUUACAAUUGCAGAACAGCCAUUUACGCUGCUUUAUCAUCUGAAUGUACGUCAUCUCCCCUUUAAGAUGAGGGUUUGAAUGUUGGGUACACAGACGUGGGUACUUUGAUGGGGGUGGGGGUGGGGAUGUCCUUGAAACCGGAGAGAGGAAACAAGCUGGAGAAAGUAAGAAAAUGGACCUUGAAGGUGUAUACCCUGCCCACCUCUCUCUCUCUUCCUCCCCCUUCCCUCUCUUCCCUCUUUCCCUCCCUCUCUUUCCUAGGUGGCUAUAUAGCUCUCCUCCACCACACAUUCUAACAGCCACAGUGUUCAAGGGCAUGGGGCCAGUUAUCCACAUACUCACAGCUCAGAAACAAAACAAACCUCUUUCCUUUCAAGCUGCAAGGACAGGCAUUUUCAUCACAGUAAUAUGGAAAUGAAACCACAGAACUGAGAUUUCAGAAUUUUAAGUGGAGUUGAAUUGUGAGCCACUUAAGCAAAAUUUAUUUUCAAUAGCUAUGGUAAGCUUUCACCUCAUGAAAAUGCCCCUUAAAUUUAGGAAACACUGCAAAAUCUUAUUUUAAAAAUGGCACUUGGGGGGUUGGGGAUUUAGCUCAGUGGUAGAGCGCUUGCCUAGCAAGUGCAAGGCCCUGGGUUUAGUCCCCAGCUCCGAAAAAAAGAAAAGAAAAAAAUGGCACUUGGCGGGGCAAGGGGCACUUCAGGAGCAGAAUGAGUGUACAGUGAGGAUCUCAGUUCAAAUCUCCAAAGUCGACAAAACAAGUAUGGUAGCAUCUGUCUACAAUCUCAGGGACAUGGGAGUGCAGACAGGAAAAUCCCUGGACAUUUGAUGUGAGGUAGCCUGACAUAUGCAGAGACUAACAACAAGACACCCUGUCUCAGGCAAAGUGAAAGUCAAGAUUGAUACCAGAGGUUGUCUGAUAACCUCCACACACACUCUGGCCUAUAUAUGACUGUACUCAUACACAGGAACACAGGCACACGCACACACGCACAUGCACACAUGCACACUAUUUUUAAAAAUUAUAAAAGCCAUUUGCUACUGAUGACUCAAGUAAUUCAUUUUCUCCAAAAAAUUACAUGUGUACAUAUUUGGUUUCGCUUUUAAUAAAAGAGUGAUAAACAAAGCAACAGAUAUAACUAUUACAUUGCCUGCUGCUUUCACCAUGGUCUACCUACUACAUCUUUGAAAAAUAGGGUUGGGGAUUUAGCUCAGUGGUAGAGCGCUUGCCUAGCAAGCGCAAGGCCCUGAGUUCGGUCUCCAGCUCCAAAAAAAAAAAAAAAAAAAAAAAAAAAAAAAAAAGAAAAAUAAUUUUUAAUGUAUACACACACACACACACAUAUAUAUAUAUAUAUAUACAGAGAGAGUAUAGUGUGUGUAUGUGCACACUCAUGUGUGCAUGCAUGUGUGUGAAGGGUGAGUGCUGUGCUCAUGGAUAGCCUGUGGCAUGGUGGGGCUCACUGAAAGAUAAGAGAAAUCCAAGAAUAAGGAUUAUUGGAAUUUAAAAUAUGAUGUUGAAACAAAUCAGUCCUUAGAAGAGAUAGAAGUGGUGCCAACAUUCUGGGAAACAGUUUGGCAGUUUUAUAAAAAGUUAAACACUCCACCUACUAUAUAAUCUUGUCAUUCUUUGUCUAGACAUUUAGCCAAGAAAAAACCAUAUGCCCAUGCAGAGACUUGUACGUGAGUAUUCAGAGCUGUCUUAGAGAUUGUCCUGAAUAGCAAACGGUCCACGUGCCCACCAAGUGACUGGAUAAGCAACCAGGGAAUGCAGUGGAAGCAUUUGACAGAAGGAACUUCUGGUCCAACCAGCAUGAUGCACCUCAGGAAAACUGUGCUAAGAGAAAUGAGGCAGGAAAGAAAAUAAUUUCUCAUAAGAAGAGAAAAAACACAAACUACGCAAACCAUGGUGAAAGCGAGUCGUCUAUGGUCUUUAGGGGAAGAAGUAAGCAGGACUAGGGCACAGAAUACAAGUUACUAAAGGACAAACAUGUUUGGGGGAAGGAAGUGUGUGGGAUGGUUUGGAUGAGAUCAGCCCCCACAGGCUCACAUAGUUAAAUGUUGGGGCUUCAGUUGGUGGAAUUGUUUGGGAAAGGUUAGGAGGAAUGACUUUGUUGAAUUAGGUGUGGCCUUGUUGGGAGGAAGUAUGUCACUGGUCAGUGGGCUUUAAGGUUUCAAAACCCCAUGCCAGCGCCAGUCUCUCUGUCUCUAUCCUCUCUCUGUUUCUGUUUCUGUCUCUUUGUCUUUGUCUCUCUCUCCUCUCUCUGUCUAUCUAUGUCUCUCUUCUGUUCUCUCUCUCCCUCUCCCUGCCUCUCUCUCUCUGCCUGCUGCCUGUGGAUCAAAGCUACACCUCUCAGCCCUCUACUUGCCUGCCCGUUGCCACACUUCCUGUCAUGAUGAUUAUGGACUAACACUGAAAAUUUAAGUAAGCCCCCAAAUAAAUGCUUUCUUUUGAAAGAGUUGCCUUGGCAAUGGCUUCUCUUCCCAAUAAUGAGGAACUAAGACAGAAAUUGGUAUCAGAAGUGGGGUGUUGCUGCGACAGACUGGACCAUGUUGUUUUGGAGACAAUUGUGGAAGGACUUUGGAACAUUAAGCUGGUAACGCCACUGAGUAUUGUGAGCUCAAUGGGAGGUUCUGUGUGAGCUUAGAAAUAAGAAUGUUGAGAGCAGUGCAUACAAUGGAGGCCUAUCUUCUGAAGCCACAGAGGGAAACAAAGACUUUAUCAGGCCAUUUGUAGGAAGAAUAUGUGGUGUCUGGUCAGCUGGAACUGAAGAUUCAGUUGUGAUUAGGAAGAGACCAGAACCACUAAAGUAAAACCUUUGCUCUUGGAGUCAAUGGAUGCUGGUCAACCGGCACUGAAGAAUCAACUGUGAUUAAGAAGAGACCAGCAUCGUUGAGUUGAAGUCUUCUGAUGUGAAUUAGAACCUCUGGAGCUGAGACUUGAGGAUCCAGGUUCUUAAGGACAAUCCAGGUGCUGUGAUGGGAAGAUGGCGUACGCCCUGUGAUUUUUAAAUAUAAUUGGGAGGAGAUCUGUAUUGCCUAAAGAGCAUAAUCCUCACAACGAUCCUCGUAUAGUUUAAGCUUAGGUACCACUCCGUGAAGAUCCACUUAAAGGGAUGUAACAUCAGUGCUGUGAGCAGAGACAGACAUAACCUAGGAACUCCAUGGCCAACCAGCCUAGCCAAAGCUGCAAGCUUCAGGGAAGAGACACGUGAACAUUCACUGUGGUGAAAAUUAUUAAAACUAUAACUAAAAAUAAAAUAAAGCAGGGCAAAAUAAAAACAUUUGUGAAGGUAUAUGUUCUAAAAGAAAGGAAGGAAGGAAGGAAAGAAGGAAGGAAGGAAGGAAGAAAAUGAACCCGGCUUCUUUUGCAUCCUUUCUCAGUAGCUGUUCAAUAAUGAUCUCUUUCCAACACAGUAAGGGAAUCCAAUAGGAAAGACAGACUUUAGAAAACAGGUACUCAAUGUACAAGAGAAACCUUUGGGGACCUGACAGUGAUAACAGAGGAAGAACCAGGGACAUCUGUUAGACAACAAGCCUGAAAGGCAGAAUUCUGGGACUAAUCAGGAGGCCCCACAAAAAAGAAGUCAUGGGGCUGACUGGGGCAGACAGUGAUAGGACAUGCCUGGACACUUUAAUGAGGCAUUUAAACACUGAGUAGUGGUGGUCACACAUAUGAGAAAAGUUCUUAAAGUUAUAUUUUAGAUUUAUUGCUUUUCCGUGUGUGAGUGUUUCGCCUGCAUAUGCACCACAUUCCUCCCCACAGAGGUCAGAAAAGGGGAUCCAACUUCUUGGAACUAGAGUUCUGAAUUUGUGUCCUGGUAAUUGAACCUUGGUCUUCUGCAAAAGCAGCAAGUGCUCUUAACCAUCACUAAACCCAUCUCUUCAACCCCUGUAAGAAUAUUUUUUUAAAGAAAGUAAAAAUACAAGACACCAACUGACUUCUGUUUGAAGGAAAGGAAAUGCCAUCAUGAAUUACAACAUUGUGCAUAUUGAAUAUUGAAUACUGACCUAACCAAAGCACAAUUCAGUGUUUUAAGGAGGAUAACUGUGUGUGUGUGCAUGUGUGUGUGUGUGUGUGUGUGUGUGUGUGUGUGUGUGUGUGAGAGAGAGAGAGGGGGGGGGGUUAAGGAGGACGGUCCCCAUCACAGGUAAAACAGAUUAUGACCAAAUCUGAAAAUUCAAGCAGCAAUACAAGUGUUAUUCCAAGUUACAGAGUAAAUACCAACAUGACCAGGUAAGCAAGCAGCAUGGCGGCCCUUGGGAGAGAGAAAACAGGGCUAGGAAAGAAUGAUACUAUGUGAUUGUUUGAAUAGCAAAGCUGUUUCUUUCUUAAACUCUGUGCAUAUGUAAAUUUGAUUCUUCUUAAAAGAGGGGAUCUGUUGGCCUGAGUGUCUGAAAUGCACAAGCUGAGAUGAUCUCACACUUCGUGUGUCAGAAUUUCCACUCUCAGGAAACAAAGCCAAGGCAAUACUAGAAAGGCAAGAGAGGUUUGUGUAGUGAGUAGAUCCCCUGUGAAAAGGGAAAGGAGAAGAGAGGCUGUGGGGAAGACCUCCAUUUCAGUGCAGGGCUGGCCUCCUGAAGGGAAAGAAAAGUGCCUCAGCUGGUAGCUGAACAAAGAUGGAGAGAUGCCCAGCUCCUCCUCACCAUUCCACAGUCACCAUCCUCUCUCUGUCCUGGUCUCUCCCUACAGGCAGCAUUUCCUGUCUUGAACAGGUCUAUUUGUCCUCCAACAGCACCAUGAUACACACUGUCUCUCUUCUCGAGAGGAAAAAUAAAGGAAGAUUUCAAUGGAGUGAACUGUAGCACCCAUGUCCACCAUGAAUCAGAGGGUGUAAACUGGCAGCUCCAUCCUUUCUCUGUACUGUCUGUUCCAAAUUUUACACGCUGAGCUCUUACUUGGCUUACUGGUCUCAGUGUCCUACCUGGUGGUUUGGCCAAACCUACAUUUCUCAGGAACCUGAAACCCUGAUUCAGACUAAAGUGGCUUCUCUUUUCCACAUAGUCACAGGAAAAACAAGAUGGUCCCAAGGUCCACAGCUCCCUUUUGGAUUAAGACUCCCUUGGCAGUCUCUACAAGUUUACAAUAUGGUGACUGUUUUCCUUGGGCUCUAGCACUUAGGGGUCAACAGCAGGUCUUUGCAUUUCAGAGUCCAGUUAUCUCACUGCCUCUGAUGAACAUAACUCUGUGACUGCAUCUCCCGGCCGACAGAGGAGAGCCUACAUGACGUGUGUAGGUGUGCUAGGGUUCCUAAGCCACACGUUCCUUAAAGUCUGGCAAAUGAUGAGGCUUUCAGACCCUCCUUUCUGCUGAGCCUAUCCCCACAGCCCAUCUUCCUGAGCUUUGAGCCCCUCUGCUGCCAUCUGACUUAACCCCUCAGGUGUUCCCCCAUGCCUAGUGUGAACAGUUCCUCCCUAUGGGUUUCUGAAAGCCACCCUGGAGACAAAUCCCUGAACUAAAGAAGCCCUGAUUGUUUGGCUUUUUUUUUUUUCUAGCUUCUCUGAUCAGGUACCUCGGUCCCUGCCAGCACUUUCUAGAUAAUUCCUACAGCUUUUUUGGGACACGAUCUCUUUAUUUCAUGAGGGUUUUUUUUUUAUGUUUGUCAGACAUGGGCUUACUCUGCAUUCUAUGCUGACCUGGAAUCUGUGUCAAUACUCCUGUCUCAACAUCCUGAAUAGGGUAACAGAUGGGAAUCACCAUACCUAGAUAUUUUUCAAGUAUGAUAUGUCUCUAGCUGGGCAUGUAAGAUUUAAGCCAAGAGAGCAGCUUUCUUAGGGGACAGUACCUCUUCCCUUGUUAGAGGAAGGACUCUGAUCGCUAUUCCUAUCCUGAGGGCCUGAUGUUUGCCCCUAAAAGCUGAGGUCAGCUCCUGUAGCAGACCCGACUCAGUUCUCUUCAUGAGGUUCUUCUGAUGACAGUAUUCCUCUUAAAGUUCUGCCCAUGAACCUACUCAGUCACAUACCUUUUCUAAGAAGGAAAUUCUUUUAAACAUAAAAAAAAUGUAUGCGUGGGCUUAGCAAUGGUCAGUGUAAAGGACGGAGUCAUAUUCUGUGUUGACCUAGAACUUUCCAGUUUCCCACAUGCUGUCAUCACACAGCACAGCUGGCACAUCCUGAAAAGAAUAUCUUCAUCUCCCUUCCUUGGCAAUUUAUACCGUGACUCCGAGAGACGCAAGCGUGUCUGUGCCAAGCAUCCCUUCCCUUCUCUGCUGAUUUUCACAACUCUCUAGCAAAUAUGCAUAUAAAUAGAAGGCCUACGAAUAAGAUGUUUGCCGUAGAAAUAAUGAACCGAAAGAACCCCACUGUGCAGUCUCAGGGGAUCCUGACAAUCUGUCUUCCGAAUGUGGGCAGAGCGUUCUAAGUCAAGAAUAAAAUAUUAGACAAGCUCUACGCUGCAUUACUGGCUCUGCAUCCCAGGACUUAAAUUGCUCUGUGCUUUCCAGUGACAGGGACCUAAAGACGACAGCAUACCACAAAGCUUCCUACUGGCCAGAGUCUCUCUACUGCCUACACCUUGUGGAGACGGGCUCUGAAGCUUCAUUUUAAGUUGGAUAUAUUAACGGUCAUCAUUGUAGGUAGUCAGAGCAGGAAUUCAAGCGGGAGCAAAGGCAGGAACCAUGGAGGAGUGCUGCUUACUGGCCUACUCUCCAUGGAUUGCUCAGCUUGCUUUCUUAUACAAUUCAGGAUCACCUGCCCAGGGCAGGUACUGCCCACAGUGGGAUGGAGCCUCCCAUAUCAAUCAUUAACCAAGAAAAAUGCCCCAACAGGCUUGUCUACAUGCCAAUCUGACAGAGGUAGUUUCUCAAAUGAGGUUCCCUUCCCCUAGGUGACUCUAGUUCGUGUUAAGUUGGCAAAAACUGACAAGCACAAUCUAUAAUAGAACGGAAUGAAUUAUUAUUUCAAAAACUACUUGCAGCUGAGCAGUGGUGGUAUAACCUUGAAUCCCAGCACUUGAGAGGCAGAAGCAGACAGACAUCUGAGUUUGAGGCCAGUCUGGUCUACAGAAUGAAUUCCAGGACAGCCAGGGCUAUACAGAAAAACCCUGUCUUAAAAAG
Rattus norvegicus (Norway rat) is the source of this 15183-nucleotide non-coding RNA. Lineage: Eukaryota; Metazoa; Chordata; Mammalia; Rodentia; Muridae. The record is from RefSeq and is a predicted model, not a curated record.